GGUUGCUUAGCGCUGUUUGCGAAGAGCACAACACACGUAGGGAAUCGUACCGGUGCGGUGUUUUCAGCCUGCGCCGAUUUCCAUCCGCAACGAAGAAUGCCAAGCUGCGCCACCGGUGGAUAGCUGCAGUGAAUAGGAAGAACGACCAACCCAGUGAAAAUGCACGAGUUUGCUCCGCUCACUUGCUGGGCAACAAGCCUACAGAGCAGAAUCCCGCGCCGGUGCUUCGCCUUGGCUAUAACAAAAAGGUGGUGAAGGGCAGGCGUCUGCUAACCAGGCAGUCAAACGACCUCGCCAGUUGGUUGCCAAACGCGGCCAACCCAGUAGAGACCAUGACAAACAAGACCAAACUGAAAGUGCAGAUGACAGUGUUCUGCGUGCUAUGAUAAUAUAUGGCACCAACACAGUGCUGUAAAUUCCUUCACAGGUUACGUGCCAAAAAGCUCACACGUGUUCUAGCAUAU
Dermacentor albipictus is the source of this 464-nucleotide long non-coding RNA. RefSeq lists it as uncharacterized. Lineage: Eukaryota; Metazoa; Arthropoda; Arachnida; Ixodida; Ixodidae. The record is from RefSeq and is a predicted model, not a curated record.